This 290-nucleotide unclassified non-coding RNA is filed under the name fungal sp. RNAcentral's name for it is "partial internal transcribed spacer region". The stretch from base 1 to 46 matches the Rfam family "Eukaryotic small subunit ribosomal RNA", at positions 1786 to 1831 of the family's 1831-position model. Lineage: Eukaryota; Fungi. The record is from RNAcentral.
AAGUCGUAACAAGGUCUCCGUUGGUGAACCAGCGGAGGGAUCAUUACCGAGUCACGUACUCAAACAACCCUUCUGUGGACUUGAAUAAACCGUUGCCUCGGCGGGCGGCCCCCCGCAGCUAAAUUGCGGGAGCCAAAUAGUCCGGCCACCUUUGGGGGGUGGUGAACCCCACUAAGGUGCUCCCGGCGCCAGCCGCUGGCCCCAAACAACUAAACUCUAAGUAACUUUACCUUCUGAGUUAUAAUACAAAAAAUAAGUCAAAACUUUCAACAACGGAUCUCUUGGCUCUG